Molecule: unclassified non-coding RNA, 418 nt
Filed under: Hevea brasiliensis (rubber tree)
Lineage: Eukaryota; Viridiplantae; Streptophyta; Magnoliopsida; Malpighiales; Euphorbiaceae
Source: RNAcentral
CAAUGCGGGCGGGCGAUAUCCAGCAGCUUUAGCGAAUGCUUGGAACCGUGGAAAGGCGGGAGCCGGGUGUUUAGGAGCGAAAUGCGGCAUAUUGGCAGCGGGCUUGUACAGCCUUCAUUCAGAUCGGANCAGCUUUUAUUCAGAUCGGAUACGCAUGAUCGACCGCCGCCUUGAGUAUCCCGCCACCUUGCGUAACCGCGAUGUCAUCCUCGACGUCCUGCGCGGUGUGCUGCCCGCAUCGGGACUUGUCCUUGAGAUCGCCAGCGGCUCAGGCGAACACGUCGUGCAUUUCGCGCGGGCUUUUCCGGGCCUGACGUUUCAGCCCUCGGACCCCGAAGACGCCGCCUUGCAAAGCAUCGCGGCGUGGACGCGGGACAGCGGUCUUCCCAACAUCCGCGCACCUGUGGUGCUGGAUGCC